Molecule: long non-coding RNA, 203 nt
Filed under: Zostera marina
Lineage: Eukaryota; Viridiplantae; Streptophyta; Magnoliopsida; Alismatales; Zosteraceae
Description: long non-coding RNA (ZMAR_LNC000687)
Source: RNAcentral
GACAUUUCCGCAGGAAAGAAUGUUCGACAUUCCCAGGAAAAGGGGAAUAGACGUCGACAUUUACCAAGGAAUUCGAUGCCUUCAAAAGAGAAGGCCAGGAUCGACAUUCCGCAGGAAAACAUGUUCGACAUUCCCAGGAAAAGGGGAUAGGCGUCGACAUUUGGCAAGGAAUUCGAAACCUUCAAAAGAGAAGGUCAGGAUCG